AGCUGAGAGAUACUCCAGACAGUGGACACACAGUUUGACAUGAUGGACUACAGGACAGGACUGUUGCUUCUAACUGUCUGCUGGACAGGUGUUGAUGGUCAGACUCUGACACAGUCUGAAGCAGUGGUUAAAAAUCCUGGAUAAUCUCACAAACUGACCUGUACAGUUUCUGGAUUCUCAUUAAGCAGCUACUGGAUGGG
Molecule: long non-coding RNA, 200 nt
Organism: Thalassophryne amazonica
Lineage: Eukaryota; Metazoa; Chordata; Actinopteri; Batrachoidiformes; Batrachoididae
Exons: 4
Source: RefSeq, a predicted model, not a curated record